This 1180-nucleotide ribosomal RNA is filed under the name uncultured organism. RNAcentral's name for it is "bacterial SSU rRNA". It matches the Rfam family "Bacterial small subunit ribosomal RNA", at positions 159 to 1344 of the family's 1533-position model. The record is from RNAcentral.
CGGAUUAAUACUCCAUAAUACUAUGGACAGGCAUCUGUUCAUGGUUAAAGCCCCGGCGGUCAGAGAUGGGCAUGCGUGACAUUAGCUUGUUGGUGAGGUAACAGCUCACCAAGGCUACGAUGUCUAGGGGGUCUGAGAGGAUGGUCCCCCACACUGGUACUGAGACACGGACCAGACUCCUACGGGAGGCAGCAGUGAGGAAUAUUGGUCAAUGGGCGAAAGCCUGAACCAGCCAUGCCGCGUGAAGGAUGACAGCCCUAUGGGUUGUAAACUUCUUUUGUACGGGAAGAAACGCUUCUACGUGUAGAGGUUUGACGGUACCGUACGAAUAAGCAUCGGCUAACUCCGUGCCAGCAGCCGCGGUAAUACGGAGGAUGCAAGCGUUAUCCGGAUUUAUUGGGUUUAAAGGGUACGUAGGCGGGAGCUUAAGUCAGUGGUGAAAUCCUGCAGCUUAACUGUAGAACUGUCAUUGAUACUGGGCUUCUUGAAUGUAGUUGAGGUAGGCGGAAUGUGUAAUGUAGCGGUGAAAUGCUUAGAUAUUACACAGAACACCGAUUGCGAAGGCAGCUUACUAAACUACGAUUGACGCUGAGGUACGAAAGCGUGGGGAGCGAACAGGAUUAGAUACCCUGGUAGUCCACGCUGUAAACGAUGAUCACUCGUUGUUGGCAAUACACCGUCAGCGACUGGGCGAAAGCAUUAAGUGAUCCACCUGGGGAGUACGACCGCAAGGUUGAAACUCAAAGGAAUUGACGGGGGCCCGCACAAGCGGAGGAACAUGUGGUUUAAUUCGAUGAUACGCGAGGAACCUUACCUGGGCUUAAAUGUAGAACGACGGACCGGGAAACUGGUCUUUCUUCGGACGGUCUGCAAGGUGCUGCAUGGCUGUCGUCAGCUCGUGCCGUGAGGUGUCGGGUUAAGUCCCAUAACGAGCGCAACCCUCAUCAUUAGUUGCCAGCGGGUAAUGCCGGGGACUCUAAUGAAACUGCCGGUGUAAACCGAGAGGAAGGUGGGGAUGACGUCAAGUCAGCACGGCCCUUAUGUCCAGGGCUACACACGUGUUACAAUGGUCGGUACAAAGGGCAGCUACCUGGCGACAGGAUGCUAAUCUCGAAAACCGAUCUCAGUUCGGAUCGAAGUCUGCAACUCGACUUCGUGAAGCUGGAUUCGCUAGUAAUCG